Molecule: long non-coding RNA, 2395 nt
Organism: Myxocyprinus asiaticus (Chinese sucker)
Lineage: Eukaryota; Metazoa; Chordata; Actinopteri; Cypriniformes; Catostomidae
Exons: 3
Source: RefSeq, a predicted model, not a curated record
GAACAGAAACAGGCUUGCAGUGUGGGAGGAGGAAACUGACAAAGUGCUUGUCUAAAAGAAAACACACCACGGGACACUACAGAUCACCCGCCCUAUAAAUCCUUCUUCAGCAUAACAGGACCCGAAAGAUCCAGAAAUUCGUCAAGAAACCCCGGAAAUAAAAAGGGUCCUGGAGGUGGUUGGCCUACUAGGUGAUCAAGGGCGAGAGAAUAUGAUGACCGGGUUCAGCUUUCAUGACUCCUAAAACGGAGCAGGCAUCUCCAUCUCAAUGGGAGAUUACGGCUUACUGGAUUCUGUCCUUCUCCUCACAUCUGUAUUCCUUCUGCCAGCUGCACAGGUUCUCCAAAGCUGAGCUGCAGAAAAGGGGGGGUUGAAAAGAUGAAAUAUUCAUCUUAGUAACUCACAGGCUGUAUAUCAACUUCAACCUGCCCAGAUCUUUAACCACUAGACAAUCACCACUCCACCAUUACGUCAGGUGUACGUAAAAUCAGUUUCUAAAUUGGUAUCAGAUACUUGUUGACUUGGAUUAAUUUAUCCAGAAUAAAUAUACUAUGCAGGUAAUUUUAAAUGCUCACAUUGACUUUAUUUCAUAACAUAUCAGUUUGAGAAGGGCCGCUCUCUUGUGUGAGGAAAAUAGCCCAUUCCUAUCGUGUUAACUGCUGACUCUAAGUGGUUUGAAAAGGUUGUGCUGUCAUUUUGAGGGGUGACAAGAUCUCAGGUCAGCAAAAGGCAACACACAGCACCCAUUUUAUCUCUUUCAACCAAAACAUGCCACUCAAAAUAAGUGCAAUAAUAAACCUUCAAACUAGGCCCAUCUCCUUGUGCUUAGAGAAUAAAACACUCCAUAAACCAGAAUGGUGGGUGAAAUCAACGAUACAUGUAAAGAUAACUUAAGUCUUUUAACCACUGCAAAAUCUCUGGUCAAAUUAAACAACACUUUAAAGGAUGGUCACCUAGCUGACUCAGUCCAGAUUCAUAUACACUCAGUUAGCACUUUAUUUGGAAUACCUGUACACCUACUUAUUCAUGUGAUUAUCUAAUUAGCCAAUUGUGUGGCAGCAGUGCAAUGCAUACACUCAUGCAGAUACGGGUCAGGAGCUUCAGUUAAUGUUCGCAUCAACCAUCAGAAUGGGGGGAAAAAUGUGAUCUCGGUGAUUUCGAUCGUGGCAUGAAUGUUAGGGCCAGACGGGCUGGUUUGAGUAUUUCUGUAACUGCUGAUCUCCUGGGAUUUUCAUACACAACAGUGUCUAGAGUUUACUCAGAAUGGUGCCAAAAACAAAAAACAACCAGUGAGUGGCAGUUCUGCAGACGGAAACACCUUGUUGGUGAGAGAAUCUUCAGAGAAUGGCCAGACUGGUUUGAGCUGACAGAAAGGCUACGGUAACUCAGAUAACCGCUCUGUACAAUUGUAGUGAGCAGAAUAGCAUCUCAGAAUGCACAACAGGUCAAACCUUGAGGCAGAUGGGCUACAACAGCAGAAGACCAAGUCGGGCGCUUUAUUACAACCAUAGUGCUCCUAAAAAAAGUGCUCAGUGAGUGUAAAAUAAAUUAGGCUAUAUAGACAGGUAAAACAGUGAGCUGAUUUCAAAGUGGUUUUCAAUGUUAUUACUUCCAAGUUCUCUUGCCACUUGUAUUUGCACAGUGAAUUUAGGUCUGACACCACAUAAAGCUUUGAUUGAAAUUAAAAAUAAAACUUAACUGAAAACGUGUGACCUUAAGUAAUACAAUCAUUCACCUUUCAGUGUUUGUGUCUGUGAACAACUAUCAUCCUUCAUUAAUCCAGCCCAAAUCCAACCCUAUGCCAAGAAAAAGUAUUAAAUGGACAUCAUUCUAACAUGUUUAAUUUUUUUUAUUAUUAUUAUUAUUUUCCCUAUAUUUAUUGACCCUCAACAUUGCAAUAUUACAGUUUGGGAUCUUUCUAAAAACAAGCCCUUCUAAAAUAUUGUUAGUAUUUGUGUCUAAACACAGUGUGACCACUAGAUGGCACUGUGGUCUCACUUCUGUUUCCAAAUACACUUUCUUUUCUCAACUCUCUCUUUUUGUGUGUGUGUGUGUGUGUGUGUGCGCGCGUUUAUGAAAGUGCGGUUAGAUCCCUGCCUGGCAGUGCACCCUGCAGGAAAACCUUCUGUCGAGGUGAUGAGAGGUCCAUCCUGAGAAACUGAAAGAAAAAAGACAUGUAGUUAGGAGGACAGGGACAGAGACAAAGGGGCGGGGCAGUGAAAACAACACCAAACUGGCACUGCAUUGCAGGGGAGGAAGACCGUUUAUAUGUGUGUAUUUGCAGAGAAUAUGCGAUAUUGUUAGAUAUUAUGCUUGAUCAGAAAGGCCCUCUUCCAACUACAAGACCAACAUUCAAGAACAUUUCAUCCAUUUUGAAACUCGAGCCUUGAAGUUC